UACAGAGGUGGCAAGCGUUGUUCGGAAUUACUGGGCGUAAAGGGCGCGUAGGCGGACAUUUAAGUCAGACGUGAAAUCCCCCGGCUUAACCGGGGCAUUGCGUCUGAUACUGGGUGGCUCGAGUGCGGGAGAGGAAUGCGGAAUUCCAGGUGUAUCGGUGAAAUGCGUAGAUAUCUGGAGGAUCACCGGUGGCGAAGGCGGCAUUCUGGACCGACACUGACGCUGAGGCGCUAAAGCCAGGAGAGCAAACGGG
Molecule: ribosomal RNA, 253 nt
Filed under: uncultured bacterium
Lineage: Bacteria
Description: partial 16S ribosomal RNA
Rfam family: Bacterial small subunit ribosomal RNA
Source: RNAcentral